This 263-nucleotide ribosomal RNA is filed under the name uncultured bacterium. RNAcentral's name for it is "partial 16S ribosomal RNA". It matches the Rfam family "Bacterial small subunit ribosomal RNA", at positions 91 to 354 of the family's 1533-position model. The record is from RNAcentral.
CUUAGCGGCGGACGGGUGAGUAACGCGUGGACAACCUGCCCUAUGCAGGGGGAUAACAUCCGGAAACGGGUGCUAAUACCGCAUAAGCGCACAGUACCGCAUGGUACGGUGUGAAAAGCUGAGGCGGCAUAGGAUGGGUCCGCGUUGGAUUAGGCAGUUGGCGGGGUAACGGCCCACCAAACCGACGAUCCAUAGCCGGCCUGAGAGGGUGGACGGCCACAUUGGGACUGAGACACGGCCCAAACUCCUACGGGAGGCAGCAG